CACAUAUCAUAUUAUGAGCAGGUUGGGAAAGGAGUGCAGAAAGUGGCUUCCCUUGCCGAAGAGGCUGACUCUGAAAUAUGCAAUAGAUCAUAACAUAAACGACAGGACUGCUUCACUGUACAGGCAGCCAACACUUGUUGGGAUCAGCAUACAGAAGCAAAUCUGGCAGGUCCAAGAUGGAUGCACAUCUUUAUUGAGAUUAUGAUGCUGCUCUUUUCCUUGCAGUGUUACAUGUUUUAUCUACAGCAUUUUUAUAUCUUCAUUAUCUUUUCCACAAGCAGCCUGAAAGUGCCGAAACUUAGGUUUAAUGAGUUACAAGCCUAAAGCUUGCAGUUAAGUCAAGCGCCUGUAGAGAUAUCAAAUCACAGAUACUGUAUAUUCCAUAUGUUCUCUGAGUAGUCAAAAUGAAAGCUUUACAGUAAAAGCAUAGAAACAUUUAAAUUGAAUAAAACAUUUCACACUUUCAGUGGUAUAUUCUAAAUAUUGCCCCAAAAGGACCUGCUUCGGUUCGAUAGGCCUAUAACAAAUACAACCUUUUUUUUUAAAUCAAAUGUUUUCAGUUAAUAAAGAUGAAAUCUUUCAACUCUAGAUGGCGACAUUGACUCAUAAUUAGACGAAGACUCUACAGCACUGAAGAAUGUGCAGCCCCUCUUAAUAAUCGGUCAGACUUCAAGAUAUUCCUUCCCAAUUUACAUGUAUCAGAUAUGCUAUUAAACAUAAUUAGGCCCAAUUAGGAAAAGGCAGAUGGAGUCGCCAAUAUUGCCUUUGGCCUAUCCUACAAAAAACAAAAGUGAGAACCCUUGCAAGUAGGCUAACUUGUUUAAAUCAAUGUUUAGUCAUAUGGCGGUGGUUCCUUAGCGAGUUCUUGGCUCAAUUUAAUCUAUCAAUUUAAUCUAUGCACCCUCGAGGCCUUGGAAUGGUGAGACAAGCCAGUGUCGUGUUGUGAUCGAGGUAAUUGCGUGGUUGGGAAUUCCGGAGAAGUGCCUAAUUUCUUGCACCUGUGUUCGUCUCGGUCUAUGGAUAUCACCAAAACAGACUUAGAAUCUAGUAACAAAGCAAUAUAACAUUAUCAGCUGUCAUGCAGAUAUCCAUCUGGCUUGGCUGAGCUAGUGUCUUGUAUGGCCAAACGCAGUUCGACAUAUUUCAUGUAUGUUACCUAUAUUCUUGAUUUAAGGCCACUUAAGGCCUACAUAUAUGCGUUGCUUUGUCAUCGUGGGGUAACCAAGCAGGCAUAACUUUUAGUCUACUCACUGACUUCUCGUGAUGCUCCCAGAAUGCAGCUGAGGCUUGGUUACUGGCACUCACGACACUGGGGCUACUGCCAGAUCCUGUAAGAAGAGGUUAUUUCUAGAGUGCAUUUAGUGAGUGCAUUGCUUCUAAAACAGAUGACAUAAAAGAUGGCAAAACAAAGCUUAAACAGCUGCUUGUAAUUUUCGUUAAACUGCACGCGCAUUGUGACAGCGCUACCUGCUGUGAGGCAUGUUGCGUUGCGCGGGCGGCGCGCGAAGGAUGUGCGGCUGCGGGCGCUGUUAUUUCCUCUCCUCCCGCGCAGAUCAUGCAGUGCUACCGUAUCAUUUCGCUGUCAUCGAACGAGUCGUUAGCUCUGCGCGUUAAUGAAGGCUGUGAGACCGGCUGCGAAUAAAGAAUCACUGACGGAGGGGAAGAGCGCUGUUUUCCCGCGGAGGACAAUCCGCUGCCUUGCACUUGCAGGUGUUUGCGCUGACAAUGCUGGAAAAGCGGUCUGGUAGGUGCCAAUUGAGCAGAAAAUGAAAGAGCGACAAAAGACAGCCAUUAUUUGUGGGCGAAAGAUACUCGUCUAGAGCAAUCAUGCGUCGUUAAAGCUUUGUGGAACUCUCAGCUGUCACUGACUAACUUCGCAAGCUCACACAUGGCGAGGGAAAGAUGCCUGUGGCUCAGAGAUGGUGGCAGAUGUUGACGUGCCCUGCCGCAUAGCCUGCUAUAAUAUGAUACAGAGGUUCUUAAACCUCUCUGAUUAAGCAUGAAGUUGGAUUAGAUGAAUGAAUAAAGAAAUAAAUUGUAUUUGGCACCACAUUGAUUUAAUCCAUUAAUACAUUUUAAUUUAUGGUUUAUUCUGCAUCUGCACCUGUGAAAAUGAAAUUUGGUCAUGGUCUACACCAUUGUCAUGGUGCAAAGUCUUGCUUUGUGUAUUAACUCGACCAUUUCAAAGAAGCAGUGUAAUUUAUUCCUAAUUCCUAUAUUUUGUCUGUAACAAAAAUAUAUCUAGAUCUACAAACUAAUGGUAUUCUUAAGAAAAAGUGAUAAAGAAGUAAACAAAUAAACCAAUACUGUACAUGCCUUUAGUUUGUGUGUAGGCUUUACCUCCAAUUUUUGUAAAAGGUCAUAUCCUUUUGGUGGCUUGCUGGAGUUUUGUAGCACUGAUUACAUAUUGCAAAAUUGAAAGAAUACAAAGAACACAGCUAGGAAUUAUAUAAGUACUUCUCCAUUGAAGCUUUGUUUUCUAGUCUUUUCUAGUUAGAUUAGUGAAGUGGACACACACACACACACA
Molecule: long non-coding RNA, 2527 nt
Organism: Clupea harengus (Atlantic herring)
Lineage: Eukaryota; Metazoa; Chordata; Actinopteri; Clupeiformes; Clupeidae
Source: Ensembl